This 917-nucleotide ribosomal RNA is filed under the name uncultured Methanosarcinaceae archaeon. RNAcentral's name for it is "bacterial SSU rRNA". It matches the Rfam family "Archaeal small subunit ribosomal RNA", at positions 1 to 922 of the family's 1478-position model. Lineage: Archaea; Methanobacteriati; Methanobacteriota; Methanomicrobia; Methanosarcinales; Methanosarcinaceae. The record is from RNAcentral.
UCCGGUUGAUCCUGCCAGAGGUUACUGCUAUCGGUGUUCGCCUAAGCCAUGCGAGUCAUAUGUAGCAAUACAUGGCGUACUGCUCAGUAACACGUGGAUAACCUGCCCUUGGGUCCGGCAUAACCCCGGGAAACUGGGGAUAAUUCCGGAUAACGCACAUAUGCUGGAAUGCUUUAUGCGUAAAAUGGAUUCGUCUGCCCAAGGAUGGGUCUGCGGCCUAUCAGGUAGUAGUGGGUGUAAUGUACCUACUAGCCUACGACGGGUACGGGUUGUGAGAGCAAGAGCCCGGAGAUGGAUUCUGAGACAUGAAUCCAGGCCCUACGGGGCGCAGCAGGCGCGAAAACUUUACAAUGCGGGAAACCGUGAUAAGGGGACACCGAGUGCCAGCGUCAUACGCUGGCUGUCCAGGUGUGUAAAAUACACCUGUUAGCAAGGGCCGGGCAAGACCGGUGCCAGCCGCCGCGGUAACACCGGCGGCCCGAGUGGUGAUCGUGAUUAUUGGGUCUAAAGGGUCCGUAGCCGGUUUGGUCAGUCCUCCGGGAAAUCUGACAGCUCAACUGUUAGGCUUUCGGAGGAUACUGCCAGACUUGGAACCGGGAGAGGUAAGAGGUACUACAGGGGUAGGAGUGAAAUCUUGUAAUCCCUGUGGGACCACCUGUGGCGAAGGCGUCUUACCAGAACGGGUUCGACGGUGAGGGACGAAAGCUGGGGGCACGAACCGGAUUAGAUACCCGGGUAGUCCCAGCCGUAAACGAUGCUCGCUAGGUGUCAGGCAUGGCGCGACCGUGUCUGGUGCCGCAGGGAAGCCGUGAAGCGAGCCACCUGGGAAGUACGGCCGCAAGGCUGAAACUUAAAGGAAUUGGCGGGGGAGCACAACAACGGGUGGAGCCUGCGGUUUAAUUGGAUUCAACGCCGGG